GGCCUCUGCAGUCCUCUAGGAAAGCUGGUAACCUUCUAACUAGUUAUGACCUCAGGUAACUUCUUAAAAAACUUAAAACAGACUUUAAUCCCACAAAACGAAUGUAAGCUCAUUAAUACCAACUGAGCUAAUCAAACAAACUCCAAAUGGAGUUAACCAAACAAACUUGUCCUAGUAUGCCACAUGUAGAUUUUUAUUGCUAAACUGAAAACUAUGCAAAGCUCAAAAAUGAUCUCUCUAAUCCUGAUCUCAAUUGUUAACACAGCAUGACUUUAAGAUACUGCAUCGUUUACUCUGCAGGGAUUGUUUCUGAUCUGUGAUAAUGGAUGAAAAGACUAUUUCGUUAAGCUGGAUGCACACCAGGUACUAAUGACUAAUUGAUUUGUUUAAGUGGCCCCUGCAAAUACAUGACCAGUACGUACCAGAGGGCUUUACAGGGAGGUGUCUCUUGAUAAAACACAUAAGGAAGCCUUGACUGGUGAAUUGUGAUUAGACUUUAAAGAUCAGCUGGACAUUCUCAGAGAAACACUUUCUCCAAUGGCCUGUUCCAAUAUUUAUCUCUUUGUUUUAUUGUUUUGCGUUUGCUCUGUAUGUUGAGGUUUAUUUCAGCUGUGCCUCUGGGUUAUUUUCAGGAGUUGGUUACAGUUGCUCAUGCCCCAUGACUAGCACUUCAGCUGGAGGAAUAAAUGACAGAUGCUGCUUGGAUGUUUUUGUUUGCUUGAGGAUUUGGGGAGAAGUUAAACAGCGUUUAUCGCGCUUUACAAAGCGUAUUCUUGGAAUAAGAGGAUUCGUGGUGACAUUUAUAUGUUUUGCUUACCCUUUGUUGUGACUGUUUGAUCUGGGCUUGUGAUUUUGUUAUUCAUUUAAUUCCUGCCUAAGACUGGUAUUUCAUAAUAUAAUAGGAGCCUUUGUCACCAGUCUUCCAUCUCACAGGAAAAAAAAAAAAAAAGCCUUUACACAAACCAGAAACAAAAGCUGCAAUAGUUGUAACUUACUGGCUACUGAUCAAGCUCUCCCUUUUUGAAGCUGGUGGGACUUUGCUGCUGGGGUCAGUGGGGUGGGGAAAGGAGGGAUGA
RNAcentral lists this long non-coding RNA (1076 nucleotides) under Calidris pugnax (ruff). RNAcentral describes it as "lncRNA (ENSCPUG00000015404.1)". The record is from RNAcentral. Lineage: Eukaryota; Metazoa; Chordata; Aves; Charadriiformes; Scolopacidae.